This is a long non-coding RNA of Monodelphis domestica (gray short-tailed opossum), 272 nucleotides long. RefSeq lists it as uncharacterized. Lineage: Eukaryota; Metazoa; Chordata; Mammalia; Didelphimorphia; Didelphidae. The record is from RefSeq and is a predicted model, not a curated record.
UUUCUAGGAGUUGGCAGUUUGAGCUGACAGGGGUCUUGUCUUGGAGUCACUCUCUCUCUGGAGGUCGGAAAAGCUGACUGAAAUACUCUGGCUAGCUGAUGGCUGCCCUGGCAGGAGCUUGGCCAAGCUCCAUCUUUAAUCUUUUUCUAUCAUCUCUCUGACCUGUGUGGUAUUAAAUGUGGAUCUCUGGACUGGUAAAAGCCUUCGGAAGGGUCCUUUGAUCAGAGCUUAGCUGUGGCUCAUGGAAAAUUAAUAAAGACUCAUUCCUGCCA